This 93-nucleotide small nuclear RNA is filed under the name Carlito syrichta (Philippine tarsier). The record is from RNAcentral. Lineage: Eukaryota; Metazoa; Chordata; Mammalia; Primates; Tarsiidae.
UUGCUUUAGCAACACAUAUACUAAAAUUGGAAUGAUACAGAGAUUAGCAAGGCACCUGCACAAGGAACACUUCAUGAAGCACUGCAUACAAGG